Molecule: unclassified non-coding RNA, 161 nt
Filed under: Mus musculus (house mouse)
Lineage: Eukaryota; Metazoa; Chordata; Mammalia; Rodentia; Muridae
Description: noncoding RNA TB1142b.RT
Source: RNAcentral
AAAAGUGAAAAGAGUAGGGAGAAAAAGGAUAAUAUAAAGUUGCGCCAUCAAAAUUGGCUUCAUUAAGAUCCUUAAUGAAGCACGCGGGAGCCAUUUAUUGACUCCUCAACUAUUAAGAUGGAACAUUAUUACUGCUUUAAUAGUAUUUCCAUUUUCAUUUA